RNAcentral lists this transfer RNA (70 nucleotides) under Hydnophora exesa. RNAcentral describes it as "tRNA-Pro". Lineage: Eukaryota; Metazoa; Cnidaria; Anthozoa; Scleractinia; Merulinidae. The record is from RNAcentral.
AAUAAAUCACUUUGAGUAUAAUGGAGCGGGGGCUCUGGCCCCCCUAUAUUCGGCAGGUAUUAAUUUAUUC